CAGGAAGAUAUAGAGGCAGAUAAUCGAGUCAAGCCGCCCUGAGCAUCAAAGUUACACAUGAAAGUAGCUCAAAUUUGGACCAAACAGAACCCCACACUUGCAGACCUGGCCACGGGCUUGGGUAUUCCAGUGUGUUGAUUAUAUUUACAUAAAUGAAAAUAUAACAUUUUACAUUAUUUGUUUUACUAAUAUUGAAUUUUUAUUUACGGGCUUUGUGUGUUUUAGUGAAAAACAUAACAUGUUUAUCUGUACUAUGGAAUUAAAGUAUAUACUGCAUA
This is a long non-coding RNA of Limulus polyphemus (Atlantic horseshoe crab), 278 nucleotides long. RefSeq lists it as uncharacterized. The record is from RefSeq and is a predicted model, not a curated record. NCBI's taxonomy places the organism in Eukaryota, Metazoa, Arthropoda, Merostomata, Xiphosura, Limulidae. The transcript has 2 exons.